CCCGAUGCUUUGACUGUGGCCGCCUCUCCUCGCUCGAUCUGCCAUGUCUCUCUUCCUCCUUGCUCCCUCUGCCUCGUUCCUCUGCAGGUCACUUCGUUAGGUUCUCAUCCCCUCCUCUCUCCCUCCGCGUCGUCCCUCUGCAGGUCCACGCGCUCCUCCUGUCCACGCCAGGGAGUAUCUCUUUUCAGGUUCUCAUCCUCUUGCGUGCCCUUAUCCUCUUGCACACACACAGGUCUGACCUUUCACUGUUGCUUAUAGGGUCUCCAGAUCGGGCCCUUUGGCGGCCGCCCGCGCCAACGCUGUUGCCGCUUGUCCACGGCAGUCAGGGCGGAGCGAUAGGAUUUGUUCGCAAUUACCUGCAGCUGCAUUUGUGUCAUUUUCUGAUUUUGGCUUUCCAAUGACAUUUCCUUCUUUUAUUGUUUUGUUGUCAACCCUAGCCAAAGGACAGUCAAUACAUAACGUUAGAUGAUGGCCGGAGACUCUGCUUGGAGUGUCUGCAUAUUGCUAUUAUGGAGACCAAUGAAUGUCAGCCACUGUACAUUGAUAUUCAAGAAUUUUAUGAGGGUAUGAACAUGAAAGUAGAGCAACAAGCUCCCUUGCUUUUGGUUGAGCGACAAGCUUUAAAUGAAGCCAUGGAAGCAGAGAAAUCUGUGCACCACCUUCCUGAAACAAGAGGCCUCUGCCUAUCUGAGGAGCAGAUUGUCAGAACUAUAUUGAAAUGACCAAUUGGACCAGGCAACAGGCAACAGGCAACAGAAUCAUAGAUAUGAUCACAGGACCAUACAAACUCAUUAAACGGUGUGAAGUGACUGCAAUUCUUAUACUGUACGGGCUGCCAAGGUGAUUUUCUCUCUCAUUAUUUAACAAACUAAUUACAAUUGAUGUAGUUUCCCUUUGAUGAAGGUUGAUUCUACUACCAAUCUUGUUGCCGCUUGUCCACGACAGUCAGGGCGGAGCGAUAGGAUUUGUUCACAAUUACCUGACUGUGGCCUCGUCCACAGCUCCUGUGAAGCCAUCCGUGGACAAGACUGUAUAUUGGAGAUAUAUCCUCGCCAGUCCAAAGGGUGUUCCUUUUCUGAAUUUAUUACGCCACGACCUUAUCAGGCACAAUCUGUGGCAUUGAUAGGCACGCCAGCUGUUCGAGGGCAAGUACCAAGGCAGUAUCCUAACAAUACUCUUAUCAGACUAUAUGUGUGUGUUUCAAACUUUGACCCUUUCGUUAGAACAACGGACCACUUUGCCCGCAAAAUUACCAUUUGUUUUCAAUUCAAUUCCCACAGCUCUCUGUUUGUUGAUACAGAAAACAAUUAAACAUGAAAACUGACCACUUUGCCCACAAAUUACCAUUUGUUUUAAAUUCCCACAGAUUAAUAUUAUUUAGUGCCUAAGAUGCACUGGCUCUCUUAUGUGUUAUUAUGGUUCCGUAGUUACAUAUUGUUUGCCAUUCUUUGUUGUAUCAUGCAAUUCUUAACCUUGUUCAGACAUCCACGUCGAUUGGUUCAGUUUGACGAUAAAAGAACAUUCAUUGGACAAACUUUGCUCCACAUAUUCAAACUUCUAUAGCAUAAUUAGGAAACAUCAACUAAUUUCAUAUAUCUCUAGUUCUCUAUUGGUUUGUUCCAGUUUGUCUUUGAGAUAGCUGAACAUUCUCCGUUACUAUGAUGAUUCUCUUUUUGUAUUUUUUGGCCUGGUACCUAGCCAUUUACACUAUUGUGAUAUUGACAAUCCCACGUAUUUUUUUGUCUUGUUUCCAUAACACAAUUCGGGUUUUCAAUUAUUCCUACUCAGUACGUCACCGUCUCAAUAUGUGAAAAAAGAAAGGAAGACUUUUUACACGAUCAUUUUCGUUUUGGUAUUUUUCCCCAUUUGAGGCUGCUGCAUAGUACAUAUUAGGAGACUCUUUACACACGUUGUCACUUGGGCACAUCUGUACAUGUCUCUUUUUUACAAAGGGAAGAUGUGUUUUUUAUAAAUUGCAAUUUUGAUAGGUAGACAACCGAAUCUGUGGCGUAAUGGUAGCGCGUCUGACUCUAGAUCAGAAGGUUGAGUGUAUGAUUCACGUCGGGUUCAAAACGCUGAUCCUAAUCCGGCAUACUUUUGUCUUGAGAUUUUUUAUAUUAUUGUUUAAUAGAACCAUGUAUUUUUAGAAAGUUCUCCAUAUAAUAAAGUAAGUAAUUCUCUUGUUGGUUGCAGUUGGACCAACGUCUCUAGCUCUCGGCAUCAGAAGCAAAAAUCCAGAUUUUCUCAUCUAGCUAGAAGCUAAUGUGUGUGAUUUUUCAAGUGCUUUAACCAACCUUUUCUUAUGGUGACAUAUAAACCAAGAGUUAGUGGUCAUUAAUAAUUCAUGGUCUAUUGUGCUGGAAUGUUCUAAAUCUUAGAAUCUGAGUGAUCCCAACAAGCUUGUUACCCCCAAUACUCCUGCUCCAUAUAUUUGAUUACUCAAAACAUGAUAUGCUCAUCUGAAGUAGAAAGGGAAAUGCUGACUAUGCUCUUGCUGAAUAUUUUAUAGGACACUUUUCUAGUUUGGCAGAUGCGAGUGGAGGAUUUGAUGAGAUGCUUGCCUCUACACAGAGGUACUAUGUCUUUGGAGGCAAAGGUGGUGGGGAAACAAGCAUGGCGCCGUCGGUGAAGUUUGCCAACCAUGAUGAACUAACACUUCUUGCUUCCACAGAACCAUCUUGGUCACUACGUGAUUUGUUUGAACAAAUAUCUGAAAGCCUCAAUCACCUUGUCGAAAAAACUAUCUCUUUAGUAUCUUUUGUUUGAUGUCUUGUUUGUGUUGUUUACAGGACAUGAGUGAUGGCAAAACUGUAUGUCGCUGGAUUUGACUCUCUUUUUGCAAUUGAGGUAAGAUAUGCUAUGCUAGAUCUUUUGCCAUUCUUUGUACUAUCAUGAUUAAGCAUAUGCUGUCAGGAUGGGAAAUGAAAGCCUUGGAUUAUCUUCGGUAGUAGGUAACACAAAUGCUCUAUGUUGCAAUGAGCCUGUAGACUGUUGUUGCUGUGCAUCUCAACAGUUUUGGUCCUCCAACCUUGUUUGAAGUUUUUUCCUUUCAAUUACUCCCUCUUAUAAUUGCAUCAUGUUACAUGAUUUUGACGUUAAUAUAUAUACACCCAGGCCAUCUAAAUUCGAGUUCUUGUCAAAAUACACUUAGGUUCCCUUUUUAAUACAAAGUCGUGGUUUCUGUUAGAUCCAUCUAGUAUUUUUUUGGCUAUAUCAAAACCGACCUGCAAGCCUCAACUACUUUAAACCACUCUUUUUAGGAUCACUAUUUCACAUACUUGAAACCACAUAUGAAUUCCUGUUAUAUAUUAGGCACACUAUUUGACAGUUCUUAUGCACUUGCAUAAUGGCUAGCUUUCAGACCACACUAACAAAAAAGGUCUUUUCUAAAUUUGCCAUUGAAUGGCCGAAAUCCUAUUUUGAUGCAAAUGAGAAAUGAACAGCCUGUAAACUGUUGUUGUUCUCAACUGUUUCCUUCUUCCAACCUUUUUUGAAGUAUUAUUUUUUACUUUCAAUUACUCCCUCUUAUAAUUGCAUCAUGUUACACAAUGUUGGCGUCAAUAUGGAUAUACACUCAAAACAUCUAGAUUCGAAUUCUUGUCAAAGCACGCUUAGGUUUCUUUUUUGAAGAAAAAGUCGUCUGGUUUCUCUUAGAUCGAUCUAGUAUUUUUUUCCUACUAAUGUCAAUACCAACCAGCAAGCCUCUCCUACCUCACUCUUUUUAGGAUCGAUAUUUCACAUACUUUAAACACAUAUGAAAUUAUGUUAUACAUUAGGCACGCUAUUUUACAAUUCUUGUCCACUUACAGGAUGCUGACGAGCUUUCAGACCACCUUAACAAAAAAGUUCUGGCAUCACCAUCUAAGAAGUAUGUCUCAAAAAAAGAGCAGAGAAAAUGCAACCCAAGCGGCAAGUUGCUUCCUUUUUACACUAUGUACCAUAAUCCUUUCUAACAUUGCAGAACACAUACAUGAUCAAAGCUAGCAUGCUUCAAAAACAUCAAGCAGGUUCUACAGACCCGAAAAGCGAUGACAGGCACAUGGGCGUCAUUCUCCUGAAGGUGCGACAUCGUGUACACCCCUUCUCUGUACACAACUUCUAAUCAAGAAAAUUUACGCAUUGGCCUUCACUCUCCUUUAUAACCUUUGCGCAAAAAUAGAAUAGCUCACAAACUCUUUAACAACAACUAUUCUUUCCUUCUUUCUUUCUGUACAGAUAACUGCUUUGUGUAUCUACGACGAUCAUCGUCACUUUUGAAACGCAAUGUACAUGUAACCAAACUGAUGAAACUACUCUAGGUUAGUAUCUGUUUAUGCGAUCAUUGGCUCUGCUUUGCGUACCUCUGACGACCAUCGUCACUUUUGCGCACAUGCUUUUGUGUAUAUAUAACUAAGCUGAUGAAAUCUUACCAGUUUAGCAUCUGUUUAUUGUGA
Long non-coding RNA from Zea mays, 4433 nucleotides. RefSeq lists it as uncharacterized. Lineage: Eukaryota; Viridiplantae; Streptophyta; Magnoliopsida; Poales; Poaceae. The record is from RefSeq and is a predicted model, not a curated record. The transcript is spliced from 3 exons.